AGCCGCCUGCAUCUGUGUCCAGCGCCGGGUCCCGCCCGUCCCCGCUGCGCGCGCCCCCCAGUCCCGCACCCGUUCGGCCCAGGCUAAGGUAGCCCUCACCAUGCCGGUCAAAGGAGGCACCAAGUGCAUCAAAUACCUGCUGUUCGGAUUUAACUUCAUCUUCUGGCUUGCCGGGAUUGCUGUCCUUGCCAUUGGACUAUGGCUCCGAUUCGACUCUCAGACCAAGAGCAUCUUCGAGCAAGAAACUAAUAAUAAUAAUUCCAGCUUCUACACAGGAGUCUAUAUUCUGAUCGGAGCCGGCGCCCUCAUGAUGCUGGUGGGCUUCCUGGGCUGCUGUGGAGCUGUGCAGGAGUCCCAGUGCAUGCUGGGACUGGUGAGUCUCCCCUCAGUAUCCCCGCAGCCACCCUGACUCCCACCGCCAAAACCUCAGCAGGCCCAGACCCAGACCCACAGAACAGAUGGAGGGGGAUGGGGUCAAGAAGCUGUCCUCAGCCUGGGCCCCUCCCCGAUGUGAGGUGUCACCCCUCUUCCGUUCUGGAGCCUGUCUUAUCGCUUCCCCUAGGCAACUAAAAGGACUUUGUUUCCCCCUUUUCUUGAGGACCACGUUUGCUUUUUUUCCCUGAAUCCACAGGUACCUUUUGCCUUCUCCUUCUUGUUUCAAAAUCUGUUUUGGUCUUUUCCAAACUCCACGGAGUGGAUUCACUCCCUUUACUUUCCCAAAUCUCGUGUCUUUUGUGAACAAUAGUAGUUUCCUGCUCACUGACUCUUAACUAACGCCUUGUAAAUGCUAGUUCUGGGCUCAGCUGUGCUCAGCUCUUUCCUCAUGUCCGGGCACCUUGCCUCACUGUGGGCUCUGUCCUGGGCUUGGUUAACUGCCUGUUCUGUGAACUUCUUCCCUGCCCCUGCUAGGCUGUUCAUUUGUGUCACCAGAUGCCUGUUCCCAGGGAGUUGUCCUUCUUCCUUGUCCCAAAAUACCCUUCGAUUUUCCUGGCUGGUUGGCUGGGACUGUUCUCACCCCGUCCCCUUGUUGCCUUCCAGUUCUUCGGCUUCCUCUU
RNAcentral lists this small RNA (1055 nucleotides) under Pongo abelii (Sumatran orangutan). RNAcentral's name for it is "processed transcript". The record is from RNAcentral. Lineage: Eukaryota; Metazoa; Chordata; Mammalia; Primates; Hominidae.